AUGUGUCUUACCAAUUUGAUGUUGGUUCACAUGCAGGUUCAGAUGACGCUUGUCAUGGACACUCGGGCUGUGGCAAAACCACCCUUUUGCUGGCACUUGUUGGAAAGCUCAACAAAGAUCUCAAGAUCUGAAAUUUCACGCAGAGAACAUUGUGUGCGGCGUAUUUCACUACUUUCUUCGUUCACAAAAAUACUGUUACCACUGAGGCUCUAUGAUCAUAGAAGAGUCAGGGGAAGAGGGAGGUACCUUGGUCAAUUGCCCAGGUGCAUUGGUGAUGGCUGCGUCGCAAUCUGGGCCGGGCAGGACGCUAGAAACUGUUGA
This 321-nucleotide ribosomal RNA is filed under the name Triticum aestivum (bread wheat). RNAcentral's name for it is "partial small subunit ribosomal RNA". The record is from RNAcentral. Lineage: Eukaryota; Viridiplantae; Streptophyta; Magnoliopsida; Poales; Poaceae.